RNAcentral lists this ribosomal RNA (525 nucleotides) under uncultured bacterium. RNAcentral's name for it is "bacterial SSU rRNA". It matches the Rfam family "Bacterial small subunit ribosomal RNA", at positions 1 to 524 of the family's 1533-position model. The record is from RNAcentral.
GGAUCCAGACUUUGAUCAUGGCUCAGAUUGAACGCUGGCGGCAUGCCUUACACAUGCAAGUCGAACGGUAACAGGUCUUCGGAUGCUGACGAGUGGCGAACGGGUGAGUAAUACAUCGGAACGUGCCUAGUAGUGGGGGAUAACUACUCGAAAGAGUGGCUAAUACCGCAUGAGAUCUACGGAUGAAAGCAGGGGAUCGCAAGACCUUGUGCUACUAGAGCGGCCGAUGGCAGAUUAGGUAGUUGGUGGGAUAAAAGCUUACCAAGCCGACGAUCUGUAGCUGGUCUGAGAGGACGAUCAGCCACACUGGGACUGAGACACGGCCCAGACUCCUACGGGAGGCAGCAGUGGGGAAUUUUGGACAAUGGGCGCAAGCCUGAUCCAGCAAUGCCGCGUGCAGGAUGAAGGCCUUCGGGUUGUAAACUGCUUUUGUACGGAACGAAAAGCCCUGGGUUAAUACCCUGGGGUCAUGACGGUACCGUAAGAAUAAGCACCGGCUAACUACGUGCCAGCAGCCGCGGUAAU